GUAGAGAUAUGGUUUUCCCUUCGGGGACAACGGUGACAGGUGGUGCAUGGUUGUCGUCAGUUCGUGUCGUGAGAUGUUGGGUUAAGUCCCGCAACGAGCGCAACCCUUGAUUUUAGUUGCCAUCAUUUAGUUGGGCACUCUAAGGUGACUGCCGGUGACAAACCGGAGGAAGGUGGGGAUGACGUCAAAUCAUCAUGCCCCUUAUGACUUGGGCUACACACGUGCUACAAUGGACGAUACAAACGGUUGCCAACUCGCGAGAGGGAGCUAAUCUGAUAAAGUCGUUCUCAGUUCGGAUUGUAGGCUGCAACUCGCCUCCAUGAAGCCGGAAUCGCUAGUAAUCGCGGAUCAGCAUGCCGCGGUGAAUACGUUCCCGGGCCUUGUACACACCGCCCGUCACACCACGAGAGUUUGUAACACCCGAAGUCGGUGGGGU
RNAcentral lists this ribosomal RNA (436 nucleotides) under Lysinibacillus fusiformis. Its description in RNAcentral is "bacterial SSU rRNA". It matches the Rfam family "Bacterial small subunit ribosomal RNA", at positions 1000 to 1436 of the family's 1533-position model. The record is from RNAcentral. Lineage: Bacteria; Bacillati; Bacillota; Bacilli; Caryophanales; Bacillaceae.